CUACUCCCAAUCUCUUGGCCGUCGUUCUUUUACAUCAGAUUUUUUUUUUUUUUUUUUAUUGUAUUUGUUUGUUUUAGAAAAUUUUCUAUUCUUUGCGUGAUUGUUCUUGAUUUUGUUUCAUUUGUUUCUGAAAUUUUAUGGACUCUUGAUUAAUCUCUCUUGGUGCUGUAGAUAAUGUGGUAAUGGGUCGGUGAGGAUAAAUUUAUAAGGCUUGUUUCUCAAAACAUUCGCAGUGGCCGCCUGAGAGCUUUCGCCUUCGCCGGGCUUGAGAGCUUCUGCUGUUUUUAUCCUUCCUUGGAUGUCUGAGACUCUAACGAACAAUAUGCAUUUUGGUUUCUGUCUAUUUAAUCUAAAUGCCUGGAUAUGGAAUUUUCUGUUUUCUAUGAAUUUUGGAUUUGGGUUUUGAAAUUUCCCCUGAAAUUCACUAGUCGGGACUUUGCGUCUGUCUCUGUAGUAGUGUUUUGAGUGCUUUAGGGAUGAACAAAGUCCCAUAUAUUCAUUUCCAUCCUUUUCACUUUGUCAGCUCUUUCUAUUAUGUCUUGCUGAUCAUUGCUGGAUGGAAGAUUUUCACUUUCAUUAUUCGAUUUUACAUGCUUGAUUUGUAUGACUUUUACCCGUUGGAGAACUCUUAACAGUGAUGAUAUCCUUAAGGCUUGUUUCUCAGAACAUUCGCAGUGGCCGCCUGAGAGCUUUCGCCUUCGCCAGGCUUGAGAGCUAUUGCUGCUUUUUUUCCUUCCUUGGAUGUCUGAGUUUCUUAUCAACUUAUGAAAAAUAAAACCCAAUUUGAUAAAUCAAAGCAUUGAAGUUGCCUGUUCCUAUGGAAUCUUAAUUUUCCUUAAUUGGAUUGUGGUAUCCUUCCCAGAAUGAAGCUGCAGAUGGGAUUGAUAUUGUUCUAACAUAUUGUUUUUCAUCUAAGUGAUGGUAUUAAUGGUGGUAUGGACCAAUCAAAACUAGAUGUAUUCACCAAAUUUGUGUUUAGAAUCCAUUUUUAUAUGUACAAUCAUCGAAUAGGACAUUAUAAAAUAUAAAUCGCUUUUUACUUCACAAUUUUUUUUUGAAAAAUAAAUUAGACUUUUCAAUAAUAGCUUUCUUAAAUAAUUUAUCUUAAAUUGUAUACGAUUAUAUGAAAUUUUGAGUUACAAAAGUAAGUUUAUGGAGCUAA
Cucumis sativus (cucumber) is the source of this 1162-nucleotide long non-coding RNA. RefSeq lists it as uncharacterized. The transcript is spliced from 2 exons. The record is from RefSeq and is a predicted model, not a curated record. NCBI's taxonomy places the organism in Eukaryota, Viridiplantae, Streptophyta, Magnoliopsida, Cucurbitales, Cucurbitaceae.